This 29-nucleotide non-coding RNA is filed under the name Mus musculus (house mouse). The record is from RNAcentral. Lineage: Eukaryota; Metazoa; Chordata; Mammalia; Rodentia; Muridae.
UAACAGAGCAAGCCCAGGAUGCUGUUUGG